CGGGUGCGUACGCGUAUCAACCUACCUUGAACUGGAAGAUAGCCCCGAGAGAGCGGGAUUACUAUUCCAUAAUGUCCAUUUUUUGCAUAUGAGAUGGAUUCAAGUUCCGGCGGUUCAAGAUGGGCAUGCGUGACAUUAGCUAGUUGGUGAGGUAACGGCUCACCAAUGCGACGAUGUCUAGGGGUCCUGAGAGGGUUUCCCCCCACACUGGUACUGAGACACGGACCAGAGUCCUACGGGAGGCAGCAGUAAGGAAUAUUGGUCAAUGGACGCAAGUCUGAACCAGCCAUGCCGCGUGCAGGAUGACUGCCCUACGGGUUGUAAACUGCUUUUACGUGAGAAAAAACUCCCCGAUUCGUUCGGGGACUGAUGGUAUCACAUGAAUAAGCAUCGGCUAACUCCGUGCCAGCAGCCGCGGUAAUACGGAGGAUGCAAGCGUUAUCCGGAUUCAUUGGGUUUAAAGGGUGUGCAGGCGGAAUGAUAAGUCAGAGGUGAAAUCCCCCGGCUCAACCGGGGACCUGCCUUUGAUACUGUUGUUCUUGAGUAUAGUUGAAGUGGGCGGAAUGUGUCAUGUAGCGGUGACAUGCAUAGAUAUGACACAGAACACCGAUAGCGAAGGCAGCUCACUAACCUAUAACUGACGCUCAUGCACGAAAGCGUGGGGAGCAAACAG
RNAcentral lists this ribosomal RNA (673 nucleotides) under uncultured organism. RNAcentral describes it as "bacterial SSU rRNA". It matches the Rfam family "Bacterial small subunit ribosomal RNA", at positions 103 to 775 of the family's 1533-position model. The record is from RNAcentral.